UAAUGCCCUAUGAAAUCCUAAA
RNAcentral lists this microRNA (22 nucleotides) under Ptychodera flava. RNAcentral describes it as "Pfl-Mir-193-P2_3p (mature (guide))". Lineage: Eukaryota; Metazoa; Hemichordata; Enteropneusta; Ptychoderidae. The record is from RNAcentral.